Oryza sativa Japonica Group (Japanese rice) is the source of this 1860-nucleotide non-coding RNA. The record is from RefSeq and is a predicted model, not a curated record. NCBI's taxonomy places the organism in Eukaryota, Viridiplantae, Streptophyta, Magnoliopsida, Poales, Poaceae.
CGCCCCUCCCCACCCCGAUGGCCGGAUGGCCCGACCUGCGCCUCCUCCCCCAACCCUAAUCCCUCCUCUUCCCCUCUCACGCGCCGCCGCCGAUAAUCCGCCAUCGCCGCCCAUGCUGAUAAUCGCCAUCGCUGCCCACGCUGCACCUCGCCCUUCGCCUCCCCGGCGGCACCACCCUCGGCACCGUCGAUUAAUCCCUCUAUCCCCCUCACGCGCCGCCGCCGAUCUUCACCGUCGCGCCGCCGACGCCCUUCACCUCUCCGCCGACACCGCCCACUCCUCCGCCCCGACGCAGCCCGCGCCUCCGCGCAUCGCCCUUCGCCUCGCCAUCACCGCCGCCGUCGAUUGCCUCCACCCUCUUUGACGCCCUAUCCCCGCCACACGCAGCUGCCUCGCCGGGGAUGACCUCGCGUCGGUGACAGUGGUCCAGUGCCCAAUCUGCUUCUCGGUCUGUGUUGACACUACUGAGGUCUACGGCGAGGCUACUCCCCUCAGCCAGCUUGACAAGCAAAAAUUUCUCAGUAGCCUCAAUUGGCAAUAUCACCACACUUCUAGGAGGAGGAAAGGCUGCUCCGCGGGCUUCGUAGGGAUCCCGGCGAGCUCGCCCCCGUGACUCCUGCUUCCUCUGUCACUUGAAUCAGGACCUAGCAUACAUAUUCAGACAGGAGGUCUACGGCGAGGCAGUGGUGCGGUCACAAGUUCCACCACUGAACGGGCUAACUGAGACCAUGGAAUGAUCAUGUCAUUUUGAAGGAUCGGCAAUGGUUGUAAGCAUCGGCAGAUUCGAUUCACCGAGAAGUUCUUCCUCGGUGACACUGUUGUCCACAAGGUUGUUUCUGGUUUUGAGAAGACAACAAGUUCUCAGCUUUUUUCUGAAGUUCUGAUGGAUGGCACAGUUAGUACUAUGGCAUUGCAAUGGGAUUAUUGAAGCACUGUAAUGAGCUGGUAAUAGUUUUUUUUCCAUCUUUGCAAGAGGAGGCAACCUAUGGAGAUGGUGGGACAUUUGUACUUAUCUUUUAGCCUUAAUAUGGACCUGAGUUCUCACUGUAGGGAGUGCAACAAUUCCCUGUAACCAAAAGUAUGAAGUGGACACAGUACAGUUCAAGAACAGGUUCUUCUCCACGAAAAUAAAUUGGCAAGGCUACCUUAGAGUUGGAAAAAAAAUCUGGGAUUGCAAGAGCAUUGCAAGGGAGAACUUCUGAAAAGGAAUUGUGAGUACAAAGAAGAGCUCACAACGAGUACAGACUUCUUGCAUUGCAUUAACAUAUGAUUUUUUUAAAAAAAAUCCUGCAAAAGGCUCCAGUUUUCCUCAUAUUUGUUGUAUUCUAUAGUUCAGACUUUUUGUGACCACGUUUUGAGGAUGGGUUAAGUUCCCAAGCACCUCAAUCUGAUGUUGUACAACCCUUGACACAACAUAAGCACCAGCUGUCUAUUUCUUUGGACAACACUGUGUCAAGCGAGUGGAGAUAUGGUAAUCACGGUGUGUGCAUGAAAGCCUCUUAGGUUAUCGUUAUCUUUAGUGCCCAUAUUAUUUGGCUUGGGCAACUAUAAGAAACUAAUCAGGAAAGGUAAGCAGCUUAUUCUGCACGGUCUUAACGAGGUUAUCCCGAGGUGGGCUUGCAACAGGAGAGAGGAUGGUACUAUUUCUUCCCACUCAUAGGAUCUGUCAUCUUUAUUUGUCUAGCGAAGGCUUUUUUUUAUCUACAGAAAGUACUGCAUAACAACCAUUUUUGUUGGUCUUGCCUUUGUUUGUUUCAUCUGUAUGAAAUUUGACUUAUAAAGCAUAACAUAUUGUGGUAUUGCCUAUGAUUUUACUUGCAAGGAAUAAAAUGUGCUCCGACAAUAGUAUCAAAUAUCAAA